AGGCAAUGCCUAAGCAAGCACCUGGGACAAAGCAAGAGUCAUUCAAGUGAGCACCUCUCGAAUGUUCAGCACUAUUUUUCCUAUCCCUUUUCUGGUUGGUUUUUUCAGAGGUUUGCAGGCUCUAUUUUGAGGGUUAUUUGGUCCAUGAAGCCCUCAUAGACAAAGGGCUACUCUAGGACGUUGAAAGAUCUACUUUCUGUGUUGUAUUUUUCAGAAACAUCAAAUAUGUUUUGCUUAGCAUUAUUUUGCUCUCAUGUUGGAACUUUGAAGCUAAUUCAAAUUGUCCGAUGCUUUUUUCUUGACUUUUGUCUGAAACAUGACACAGAAUGUUGUCUUCAUUUGAUGUUUUGGAAGAUGCAGAACAUUAUAUCUAAUGUUAAAGAUAAUUAUGAUUGAGGAAUUUGAAACUUGAAUAAUUAAUCAUAAGAUGUUUGAAUUAUUUUGGAUACAAAUAGUAUUUACUUCUAACAUCAUAAAUUAGUGCCUUGCUUUUCUUUAGGCAAUAACCCUUUUGGUGUCUACCACCUCUGCGAUAUAGGGAGGGAUCUUGUCACCUUAAGGGCACCCUUUUCUUUUGAUAACCUUGCAAAAGGAUGAUGAUUUUAUAAUAUAUUAGGCAUCGCAUUUCAGCUGUUAUUUGAGAAUCAAUUUCUCUGUUUAUGCAGUAAUGAAUUUGAUCAAAAAUUCAGGUCCUGUAUUGAACUGAUAUCAGAUCUGACUUGAACGCUCCUUUAAGUAUAAACUCUAAA
RNAcentral lists this long non-coding RNA (749 nucleotides) under Phoenix dactylifera (date palm). RNAcentral's name for it is "long non-coding RNA (PDAC_LNC018616)". Lineage: Eukaryota; Viridiplantae; Streptophyta; Magnoliopsida; Arecales; Arecaceae. The record is from RNAcentral.